This 212-nucleotide unclassified non-coding RNA is filed under the name uncultured Dothideomycetes. Its description in RNAcentral is "sequence contains ITS1". The stretch from base 1 to 105 matches the Rfam family "5.8S ribosomal RNA", at positions 50 to 154 of the family's 154-position model. The record is from RNAcentral. Lineage: Eukaryota; Fungi; Ascomycota; Dothideomycetes.
GAAAUGCGAUAAGUAGUGUGAAUUGCAGAAUUCAGUGAAUCAUCGAAUCUUUGAACGCACAUUGCGCCCUUUGGUAUUCCUUAGGGCAUGCCUGUUCGAGCGUCAUCUAAACCUUCAAGCACUGCUUGGUGUUGGGUGCCUGUCCCGCCGGUCAAACCCCCACAUAUUCAAUGGUUGACCUCGGAUCAGGUAGGGAUACCCGCUGAACUUAA